AUCAACUUUCGAUGGUAGGAUAGAGGCCUACCAUGGUGGUAACGGGUAACGGGGUGUUAGGGCACGACACCGGAGAGGGAGCCUGAGAAACGGCUACCACAUCCAAGGAUGGCAGCAGGCGCGCAAAUUACCCAAUCCCGACACGGGGAGGUAGUGACAAUAAAUAACAAUACGGGGUUCUUUCGGAUCUCGUAAUUGGAAUGAGUACAAUUUAAAUCUCUUAACGAGGAACAAUUGGAGGGCAAGUCUGGUGCCAGCAGCCGCGGUAAUUCCAGCUCCAAUAGCGUAUAUUAAAGUUGUUGCAGUUAAAAAGCUCGUAGUUGAAUUUCGGGACCAAUCUGCCGGUCGUGCCUCCGGUACGCACUGGUUUUAUUGGUUUCUCCCUUCUGACGAACCAUGAUGUCAUUAAUUUGGUGUCAUGGGGAAUCAGGACUGUUACUUUGAAAAAAUUAGAGUGUUUAUAGCAGGCUCACGCUUGAAUACAUUAGCAUGGAAUAAUGAAAUAGGACGUUUGACCCUAUUUUGUUGGUUUCUAGGAUCGACGUAAUGAUUAAUAGGGAUAGUUGGGGGCAUUAGUAUUCAAUUGUCAGAGGUGAAAUUCUUGGAUUUAUUGAAGACUAACUACUGCGAAAGCAUUUGCCAAGGAUGUUUUCAUUAAUCAAGAACGAAAGUUAGGGGAUCGAAGACGAUCAGAUACCGUCGUAGUCUUAACCAUAAACUAUGCCGACUAGGGAUCGGAUGAUGUUAAUUUUUUAAUGACUCAUUCGGCGCCUUACGGGAAACCAAAGUGUUUGGGUUC
Molecule: ribosomal RNA, 799 nt
Filed under: uncultured Glomeromycotina
Lineage: Eukaryota; Fungi; Glomeromycota
Description: SSU rRNA
Rfam family: Eukaryotic small subunit ribosomal RNA
Source: RNAcentral